GAUCAACGCUGGCGGCGUGCCUAACGCAUGUAAGUCGUGCGGGGGUCUUCGGACCCGACGCGGCGAACGGCUGAGGAACACGUACGAACCUGCCCUUUCGUGGGGAAGUAAACGCGCCGAAAGGCGUGCUAAUACCGCGUACGCUCAUCCCUCCGGGGAGUGAGGAAAGCCGUAAGGCGCGGGGAGGAGGGGCGUGCGGCCCAUCAGGUUGUUGGUGUGGUAACGGCGCACCAAGCCACUGACGGGGUAGCGGUUCUGUGAGGACGAUCAGCCAGACUGGACUGCGAGACGGCCCAGACACCUACGGGUGGCAGCAGCGAGGAAUCUUCUACAAUGGGCGCAAGCCCGAUAGAGCAACGCCGCGUGGAGGACGACG
This 376-nucleotide ribosomal RNA is filed under the name uncultured bacterium. Its description in RNAcentral is "bacterial SSU rRNA". It matches the Rfam family "Bacterial small subunit ribosomal RNA", at positions 28 to 413 of the family's 1533-position model. The record is from RNAcentral.